This 253-nucleotide ribosomal RNA is filed under the name uncultured bacterium. RNAcentral describes it as "partial 16S ribosomal RNA". It matches the Rfam family "Bacterial small subunit ribosomal RNA", at positions 524 to 776 of the family's 1533-position model. The record is from RNAcentral.
AACGUAGGAGACAAACGUUAUCCGGAGUUACUGGGCGUAAAGGGCGUGUAGGUGGUGCUGUAAGUCUGGCGUGAAAUUUUUCGGCUUAACCGGGAAAGGUCGUCGGAUACUGCAGGACUAGAGGACGGUAGAGGCGUGUGGAAUUCCGGGUGUAGUGGUGAAAUGCGUAGAGAUCCGGAGGAACACCAGUGGCGAAGGCGACACGCUGGGCCGUACCUGACACUGAGGCGCGAUAGCAUGGGGAGCAAACAGG